RNAcentral lists this microRNA precursor (59 nucleotides) under Schmidtea mediterranea. RNAcentral's name for it is "Sme-Mir-36-P19_pre stem-loop". The record is from RNAcentral. Lineage: Eukaryota; Metazoa; Platyhelminthes; Tricladida; Dugesiidae.
GAUUGAUGUUAUUCGGUAUGAUCUAGAAUAAAAAUUAUCACCGGGUAGACAUUAAUCAU